RNAcentral lists this unclassified non-coding RNA (204 nucleotides) under Hevea brasiliensis (rubber tree). Lineage: Eukaryota; Viridiplantae; Streptophyta; Magnoliopsida; Malpighiales; Euphorbiaceae. The record is from RNAcentral.
AAACACAGGCGGGACAGCCAGAGGGGAUCAAAGCUCACUGCAGUACAAUGAGAACACUUACAUUUUAAAUCUGAAAACAAUGGUCUUCUCCAUGAGACGUCCACCAAAGGUAUCCAUAUUUUCUUUUAUUCUCUGCCUGCUGUGAUCGUUGUCAAUGGUUCUUAGCCAUUUAUUACCAAAAUAGGUUCUAUUGUUAUGCUUCAU